CAUCAGUCAAAACAGUCAGCAGCAAGAUGGCGGAGGCCACGGGUAAAAGAAAAGAUAGCUUUUCAUACAAAAGGUGACUCAAUAACCGUUCAGUCGUGGAUUUAUCUUUAUGAAAUUAUUGUGCAAAGUCUCCGAAAAGUCACAGAAGUCCCACGCCGGAUUACUAAACUUCUGGAAGGGCUACGAUUGCACUGAAGUCUUCUGCCAAGCUGUUAGCUGUCAGGCUAAAAACACAGACCAAGGCUAGGUUGAUUCAUAAUUAUUUAUUUUACAAAGACAACGUAAUGCUAUUCCAUGAUAGAUGAAAAAGCUUCUGGAUGGCCUACAAUGGCAUUGAGGACUUCGUUAAAACGGUGCACUCUCCCUCUUCUAAACCAAAAAGCGGAGCGUCUCCUGUCCUGCUUAAGUGGAAAAGUGGAUGUCCUUCUCUUCAACCCUCCCUAUGUGAUCACACCUUCAGAAGAGGUGGUGAGGCUCUGUACAGCAACUUCUUCAGUUCGGAUAUGAGGAGCAUUUGAUCAAGUGGUGCUUUUCUUUCAGGUGGCCAGCGCGGGUGUAGAGUCUGCCUGGGCCGAGGGCGAGAGGUGAGCGACAGGUUUCUGUCUGUGGGAGCACAGUUGCUCUCCACCAAAGGGUUAUUCUACCUCAUAACUAUAUAGGGGACAACGAUCCAGCAGAGGAGAUUAUCCGUGUACUGGGUAAAUGUGGUUGAGGGGAGAGUCAUGCUUGUCGACCAGAGCUGGACAUGAGAGGCUGUCCGUCCUGCGCUUCCAUAGGAGCUAACAAACAUGGAACUGUCACUUAGAAAUCUGCUGAAAGGAUUACAUGAGCUGAUGAGAAUAAAUAUUUUUAGGAUAUCAUUUUUGACUGAUAUUGUCUCCAAGGACAAAGGUUUACUGCAGAGGAAAACAGAAAGAAUCCUCAGAGAACCGGUGCAAAGAACUUUCUAAAUAAAGCUCUGCAGAACAAA
Molecule: long non-coding RNA, 970 nt
Organism: Perca flavescens (yellow perch)
Lineage: Eukaryota; Metazoa; Chordata; Actinopteri; Perciformes; Percidae
Exons: 3
Source: RefSeq, a predicted model, not a curated record